This 253-nucleotide ribosomal RNA is filed under the name uncultured bacterium. RNAcentral describes it as "partial 16S ribosomal RNA". It matches the Rfam family "Bacterial small subunit ribosomal RNA", at positions 524 to 776 of the family's 1533-position model. The record is from RNAcentral.
UACAGAGGGGGCGAGCGUUGUUCGGAAUUACUGGGCGGAAAGGGCGCGUAGGCGGCCCGCUAAGUCGAACGUGAAAUCCCCAGGCUCAACCUGGGAACUGCGUCCGAUACUGGCAGGCUUGAAUCCGGGAGAGGGAUGUGGAAUUCCAGGUGUAGCGGUGAAAUGCGUAGAUAUCUGGAGGAACACCGGUGGCGAAGGCGGCAUCCUGGACCGGUAUUGACGCUGAGGCGCGAAAGCUAGGGGAGCAAACGGG